This 382-nucleotide ribosomal RNA is filed under the name uncultured bacterium. RNAcentral's name for it is "bacterial SSU rRNA". It matches the Rfam family "Bacterial small subunit ribosomal RNA", at positions 115 to 507 of the family's 1533-position model. The record is from RNAcentral.
GCCGUGGGAAUAUGCCCUUUUGGUACGGAACAACUGAGGGAAACUUCAGCUAAUACCGUAUGUGCCCUUUCGGGGGGGAAAAGAUUUUAUCGCCAUUGGAGUUAAGCCCGCGUUUGGAUUAGGUAGUUGGUGGGGUAAUGGCCUACCAAGCCUACGAUCCAUAGCUGGUCUGAGAGGAUGAUCAGCCACACUGGGACUGAGACACGGCCCAGACUCCUACGGGAGGCAGCAGUAGGGAAUCUUGCGCAAUGGACGAAAGUCUGACGCAGCGACGCCGCGUGGGGGAUGAAGGUCUUCGGAUUGUAAACCCCUUUCGGGAGGGAAGAUGGAGUGGGUAACCACUUGGACGGUACCUCCAGAAGCAGCCACGGCUAACUUCGUG